GAUGAAGAACGCAGCGAAAUGCGAUAAGUAAUGUGAAUUGCAGAAUUCCAGUGAGUCAUCGAAUCUUUGAACGCACAUUGCGCCCUUUGGUAUUCCGAAGGGCAUGCCUGUUCGAGCGUCAUUAUCACCCCUCAAGCCCUCGGCUUGGUGUUGGACGGUUUGGUGGAGGCCCCCUCGGGGGCUCCUGCCCCUCCCAAAGACAAUGACGGCGGCCUCGUUGGACCCCCGGUACACUGAGUUCUUCACAGGACACGUAUCGGACACAUGGGUUUACGGGACACGGUCUGCCUCCCCUCAGGGAGAAUCUUUCUAAGGUUGACCUCGGAUCAGGUAGGGAUACCCGCUGAACUUAAGCAUAUCAAUAAGCGGAGGA
Molecule: unclassified non-coding RNA, 373 nt
Filed under: soil metagenome
Description: partial contains 5.8S ribosomal RNA, internal transcribed spacer 2, and large subunit ribosomal RNA
Rfam family: 5.8S ribosomal RNA (bases 1-121)
Source: RNAcentral